This is a long non-coding RNA of Bactrocera oleae (olive fruit fly), 1502 nucleotides long. RefSeq lists it as uncharacterized. The record is from RefSeq and is a predicted model, not a curated record. Lineage: Eukaryota; Metazoa; Arthropoda; Insecta; Diptera; Tephritidae.
CUCAAUAAGAUCAAGAUCAAGAAAAUAGAAAGCAAGUUUUGUUUGUUUGGAAAAUUGGUUCAAAAAUGUGUAAUUGUGCUGGAACUUUUGGGGAACGUGGUUAGCCGUGGCUGGCAGGGCAAUACACAGUUUUCUUUUUAAUACUCACACAGAUGAAGAUAAUAUGUAUAUAUGGAUUAUGUAUAUUUAUAAUAUAAGAAAAGCAUACUGCAUUGGAAAUAAGUAUUUGCCUUCAUGGAAUAAAAGGAAAAAAAUUGUGUCGAAUACUGGGAACAUGACUAUAAUCGAUGUAACGCCUUCAUAGACACACAUUGGAAUUACGCAAAAGAAAUGCAAACAGGAAUGAACAAAAGUGUUAGGUAUACUAUGGCAAUAAAUGUUGACAUGUGAAAUGGAGCAAAUAUGCACAUGCAAAUAGGUGGCAAUAUAAAUUAUUAGUCGAGUUAAGUCUAACUCGAGUUAAGUUUAAUUCUGGUCUCUUUUCUAAUGCACUUUUUUUUCAAUCCGUUUUCAGACGCUCCGUUUUUAGAAAGUUAUCAUUGUUUAUUUCGACUUCGAUAUUUUUUUAUCAUAUUUCCUACGACUUAUUACAUUCAGCGAUUUUUUUAUCUGCAUAUACACGAAUGUACAUUAAGAAUUUUCUCCGAAUAUCUGAAGAUGAUCCGGUAAAAAGUUUCGGAGAUAUGAGUGUAUUUAUUUGAAACAAUUUUAAGCAGAAUAAUCUUGCACGCCGCCAGACAUUGAGAUUCAAGAAACGAUUUCUUUAUUAACGAAUAAAUAAUUAAAUAUAUUGAAACCAAUUAUAGAUGAACCAAUAAUGAGUUAUGCUGUCCACGGCAAGAACGCUUGUCUUUGUGUUUAAAGACGUCAAGGGAGAUGAGGUACCCAACGGCUAAUUUUUCGGAGUUUUUGAAUAAAAAUUUUACUGUUUACAUAUAUAUGUAUAUAUUUGAUAUUCUGAAUUGUUUAAAUUAAAUACAUAUACGACUGUAUAUAUAAUAUUAAAAAAAAGGGAAAAUAAUUAUGCAUGCUUGACCUUUAGUUGUGUAUCGGAGGUGAUACAAUUUAUGUGCAUGAGAUAAUUGCGGAUGGGCUUAUGUAAACGGCUUUAAACAUGUCCCGGAAGGACGGCCAUUGUUCAUAACCACUGUCACAUGCGGGCACCUUGAGAUGGAUGCUUUUACUUGCCUCCUGAAUUUGCAUUUCUGGCAACUUUACUCCGAUGUGAAGUAGGUGCAAUUGAUUUAUGUAGUUUUAAAUUUUCAGAAAUCAUAGAUUUUUCUUCGAAGCUAUGUUCGUAUUUGGUACUUUUUUACUUGUUAAGAAGUCUUCGUGGAGGAUUUUACACUCACCAUAUGACAUGAGUAUAGGUUUUCUGAGGAGCUUAGUCUCGCAGACCACUCUUAUGAUAAAUAAUGAAUGAUUUAUUUUCUAUAACCUAAUUCUUGGGUUAUAGUAAGUGAGCGUUCAACACACUUAUUAAGUCUUCCGCGCAACCUUUC